UCAUUAUGAAAUCUUGUUGAGAGCUUCUAGUCUAUGAGAACUAACUAGUUAGCCACUAGCAAAACGCUAAGGCGAGCUAGCAGCUUGACAACCAAAUACCAGACGAUUAAUAGUAGCUGUAGUAUAGUUGUACAAGCAGUAGUAGUAAUACUAAAAGUACAAGCAGCAGUAGUAGUAUAAACAGCUGUUAGAGUCGUAGAAGUAGUAUCAGCAUUUGUAAUAGUAUUCCAAGUUGUAGUAGCAGUGCCAGUAUCAGCAGCAGUUAAUGUACUACUAGUACUAGUCACAUUGCUAUUACUACCACCAAUACUACCAAUAGUAGUUAUAAAGCCUAACUCAUGUAUAUCCAGAUUACCAUCUAUGUUCUUCCUCCAAACCCAUUUUAUGAUUGGGAUUACAGGCAAUUCUUUAGGACUGCUCUCAAAUAAUUGAAAUGUUACUAAACAAGGUUAUACUUAUCAAAUUAAAUAGCUGUGGUCUACAGUAUAUUGGCGAAUUCGGUUCUUUGUACUUAAUUUAUUAGCAGGAUUUCUUUUUAAUAUGUUGUGUACAGACUUAUUUACUUGUCUGUCUACUUUUCUUACUCCAUGUAGGUUUCCCAGAGACUAUGGGUUGAGGAGGAAUUGGAAGUUUGUCGGCUUAGACCUGGUGUCAUUCCAUCAGUGUUAAACUUCCCGGCUCAUCUUGGAAGAGUACGUGCCAGAAAGACCACGACCAAUCAGCCUUGAGAUCUUAGGCAGCGUCUCCCUGAGGUCCCUCUCUAUCUCCCCACACAUCCACCAACCACUGGAACACAUCUCCAAAGUUCUGCUGGACCAGCUCAGCUUCCCUUCAGAAGAAGUGCUGCCACCUGCCAGAUGAAGGAGCCUUUUGAGAGGCAGCUGGCAUCGUGAUUGGACUGUACUUUGGUCUGUUCCAAUCCAGCUUCAGCUCCAGAGACGGCAGGCGGGACGAGUCAACGGAGGCCUGGUGGACGAAGGCAUGCAGCUGAGUACAAUCCAGAAAACAACAGAGGAGGAGUGCAGGGCCAGAACAACCAGAGUAGCAUCGUAUGUCUCUUAGAAAACAUCAUAGUAUAGCCUUUGCUAUGAAAAAACACCAUCAUAUACAUCGUAUAUUGUACAAAUAACAAGUCAAAGGAAAGAGACAUACAUUGUAGAAUUGUAGUAAUUGUGGGCUGACUGAUUUACUGAUUGUCAGUAUUUUAUUUUUUACUGAUUUACGGUAAUAAAUAAAUUUAAAAAUGG
Long non-coding RNA from Amphiprion ocellaris (clown anemonefish), 1247 nucleotides. RefSeq lists it as uncharacterized. The transcript is spliced from 2 exons. The record is from RefSeq and is a predicted model, not a curated record. Lineage: Eukaryota; Metazoa; Chordata; Actinopteri; Pomacentridae.